UCUCCGUAGGUGAACCUGCGGAGGGAUCAUUAAGAAUUGAACAGCAGUGUUAGGCGGAUUAGCCCGGCCGGAAUCACGGAUCGGGGCCCCUUCUCGCAAGUCGAGGGGGGAUUGCCUCCGCCUGGCACUGUUGCCCAUUCUAACCCUUUGUGAACUACAACUCUGUUGCUUCGGGGGCGACCCCGCCGUUUCGGCGGUGGCGCUCCCGGUAGCCAAUUAUUAAACUCUGCAUCUCUUGCGUCGGAGUCUUAAAGAAAUUUAAACAAAACUUUCAACAACGGAUCUCUUGGUUCUGGCAUCGAUGAAGAACGCAGC
This 315-nucleotide unclassified non-coding RNA is filed under the name uncultured fungus. RNAcentral describes it as "sequence contains ITS1, 5.8S rRNA gene". The stretch from base 267 to 315 matches the Rfam family "5.8S ribosomal RNA", at positions 1 to 49 of the family's 154-position model. The record is from RNAcentral. Lineage: Eukaryota; Fungi.